RNAcentral lists this microRNA (22 nucleotides) under Callorhinchus milii (elephant shark). RNAcentral's name for it is "Cmi-Mir-146-P2_5p (mature (guide))". Lineage: Eukaryota; Metazoa; Chordata; Chondrichthyes; Chimaeriformes; Callorhinchidae. The record is from RNAcentral. RNAcentral also lists the same sequence under 1 other name.
UGAGAACUGAAUUCCAUGGGCU